UACGGAGGGGGGCUAGCGUUGUUCGGAAUUACUGGGCGUAAAGCGCACGUAGGCGGCUUUGUAAGUUAGAGGUGAAAGCCCGGGGCUCAACUCCGGAAUUGCCUUUAAGACUGCAUCGCUAGAAUUGUGGAGAGGUAAGUGGAAUUCCGAGUGUAGAGGUGAAAUUCGUAGAUAUUCGGAAGAACACCAGUGGCGAAGGCGACUUACUGGACACAUAUUGACGCUGAGGUGGCGAAAAGCGUGGGGGAGCAAACAGG
Molecule: ribosomal RNA, 257 nt
Filed under: uncultured bacterium
Lineage: Bacteria
Description: partial 16S ribosomal RNA
Rfam family: Bacterial small subunit ribosomal RNA
Source: RNAcentral